GGUUGCGAUCAUACCAGCACUAAUGCACCUGAUCCCAUUAGAACUCCGGAGUUAAGCGUGCUUGGGCGAGAGUAGUACUAGGAUGGGUGACCCCAUGGGAAGUCCUCGUGUUACAACCCC
Molecule: ribosomal RNA, 120 nt
Filed under: Helianthus annuus (common sunflower)
Lineage: Eukaryota; Viridiplantae; Streptophyta; Magnoliopsida; Asterales; Asteraceae
Source: RNAcentral